GGGGGGGGCAAGCGUUGUUCGGAAUUACUGGGCGUAAAGGGCUCGUAGGUGGCCAACUAAGUCAGACGUGAAAUCCCCAGGCUCAACUUGGGAACUGCGUCUGAUACUGGAUGGCUUGAAUCCGGGAGAGGGAUGCAGAAUUCCAGGUGUAGCGGUGAAAUGCGUAGAUAUCUGGAGGAAUACCGGUGGCGAAGGCGGCAUCCUGGACCGGCAUUGACACUGAUGAGCGAAAGCCAGGGGAGCAAACGGGAUUAGAUACCCCGGUAGUCCUGGCCCUAAACGAUGAAUGCUUGGUGUGACGGGUAUCGAUCCCUGUCGUGCCGAAGCUAACGCAUUAAGCAUUCCGCCUGGGGAGUACGGUCGCAAGGCUGAA
RNAcentral lists this ribosomal RNA (373 nucleotides) under uncultured bacterium. Its description in RNAcentral is "bacterial SSU rRNA". It matches the Rfam family "Bacterial small subunit ribosomal RNA", at positions 527 to 898 of the family's 1533-position model. The record is from RNAcentral.